GUUUCUUACCCGCAAGGGUCCACCUUCAGUGUAAAGUUAAAUUUAGUUUUCAAUCUGUUAGCCCAUUAAAACGUGGAAGAUAUUUUCAAGCUCUAGUUCGUUACUUUCUUUCUUCUUUUCUUUCUUCGCUAAUUUCAACUUCAACAGAGUAUGAAGGUGAAAAUGUCUUCAUCUAGAACUCGUGAGAAGACUAUCAAUAGAGGGAUUAAAUACUAUGUUGGCAGCAACUUGCCUUUGACCCUUGAUGCUACAAAUGAUGAUGAUUUCGUGUCCCUUGUUGCUCCCACAAAUAGUUGUCAACAAGAAAGCACUCGAAUCACCCUCUCGCAGACGAAGAAGGUUGAUAACCUUGUUAAGAAUAUCAAGCCGAGGACUAAGAAAUGUGGUUGACCUGAGAGAGAUAAAGUGAGGUUGAAACUUGUUGAUGAAUAUGAUGAUGAUGAUGCUGCCAAAAAGAAAAAGAAAAAGAGAAAGGUCGUCAAUGUAGCUGAAGGUAGUUCUUAUGCAGUAUUGAAAGAACAAAGGAUAUCUACUCGAUGUAAAUUUAAGGAAAGAAAAUUUCAGUUGAAGAUGAAGUACUGCAACAUUUCUCCUACCAGUAAGGAAAAAUCAAACUUAAACAUUGCUCCAUUUUUUGAACAUAUCAAUGCCGACUAUGUUUCUUCACGGGGUUUGCCUGCUUUUCAGAAUAAUGAUUCUAACAUUCCAUCCCCACCUCAUCCUCGAAAUAUGGAGCAGCAGCCUAAACAACCUCAUCCUCAGAAUAUGCAGCAGCAAUACAUAUUGAGACGCGAUCCUCCGCGAGGGAGAGCAGUGAUGAUUUGAAGGCUGAAGUUAUAGUUGAGGGGUGACAUUUCAAAGCUUACUUAUGCAAUUGCGACACUCAACAUUUACAUCAUAUCUUCCUUUGGAAAAAUAUUCGAGCAUUUGAAAAUUAAGCAAACUAGGGAUGAGGUUCUUGGUUCCGAGUAGAAUCAUCAAGGAAAUGCUGAUGAUGACGGUACAUCUGGGCUAGGCAAUGAUGUUUCCAUAAUUAUGAUUAUGUUCCCUCCACUCCGAGCAAGUGUUUGAACUAAACACAUUGCCUGACCAAACAACGGCAACAACGGCAAGUGUUAAGGGAAAUGAGCAAGUUACUGAUCUUCCCCCCCACCAUCCCUACCCCAAGCAAGUGCAUGAACUAAACACACGAGCUGACCAACCCGCGUCAUGCGUCAAGGGAAAUGAGCACGUUAUUGAUGUGGUAGCAGGUGAUGGUGUUGCCCCCCCCCCCCCCCCCUUCCCGAGCAAGUGCAUGAACUGAACACGCGAGCUGACCAAACUGCGUCAUGUGUCAAGAGAAAUGAGCACGUUAGUGAUGGUCUUCAUGUGGUAGCAGGUGAUGGUGUUUUCCCCCCAAGCAAGUGCAUUAAGUAAACAUGCGAGCUGACCAACCAGAAUCAGGUGUCAAGGAAAAUGAGGAAGUUACUGAUGGUCAUCUUGGUAUUUUGUGAUGUACGUUGUUUUCUUUCUUUCGCUAACUUCAUACUUGUUUGUCAUCUUGUAUUACUCUCUUUUCGCUAUCUAAGUGGCAGCAGGUGAUGGUGUCAAGGGACGAUCUCUGGAAUGCUAUUUGUGAUGAAGAGUUUGCCAAGAUAAAGAUGUCUCAGAUUGCACUUCCUAGACCUUCGAAUUGUAUUAGUGAUGAAGAGUUAUCCAAGAUAAAGUUGUUUCAGAUUGGGCUUCCUAGACCACUCAUCAUGGAAGUAGAAGAAAAAGACGUCACUUUAAAAAAAUUGGUACGAUAGAAAUUUUUAGGGAAAUUAGCCUAAUAUCCAUAUGUAACAACUUUUGAUUCGGAGACAUCCAAGUGUAUUUUUUUUUAUGUCAAGCAUCCUUUCAUGAGCAAUAUUGAUGCAUUUAAUCUCUUGUCACUUUUGGCCUAAGAGUUCUGCAAAUUCGUCGAGGAUGGGAUGCAUAUGUCAUGACGGUAGCUUUACUUGCUUUAAGCUUUUCAUGUUCUAGUUUUUAAACUUAUGUGAGUGUCUUGAUUUUUGUUUUUUUGAUGUUUUUAAGUGCCAAAACCUAUAUCGCGAUGGAAAAAAUGAUCUCCCUAAGAUUUUAUUUUUGGCUCGUGACAUAUAGAUAAAAAGAUUGGUUCGAGGUGCUUGCACAUAGUGGUUGACCUUUGAAAGACACGAAUCAGACACUAUCAGUCACUCUACACAAGCUGUAGGAUAUGAAGGACCACAUAUGUUUUCAGAAG
This is a long non-coding RNA of Lycium barbarum (goji berry), 2245 nucleotides long. RefSeq lists it as uncharacterized. The record is from RefSeq and is a predicted model, not a curated record. Lineage: Eukaryota; Viridiplantae; Streptophyta; Magnoliopsida; Solanales; Solanaceae. The transcript has 8 exons.